CUAAAAGAUGACAGUAUAAUAGUUGUGCGCGUAUUAAAUUUGAUUAUGGCACAUUUGUACGAGACUUAAAUAAUUAUAAUUGGUUGUGGUAAUAAAACAAGAACUCAAAAGGAGUUAGCAAAUGAAAAAAGUGUCGUGGAACUGGACAUGUAAAAAAUAUUGAAAAACCAUAUAGAAUUUUUCAAUUCACCGAUGAAAAAAGUAAGAUGUAGUUCUAGAGAUUGAGGAAGAUCCGCAUAAGACAACUCGGGAGCUUGCCGCCGACAAUGUUAUUUUCAACUAAUGGAAGGUUACCGUCAGAAUUGCACAAUUAUUUCUGCAUAGUAAGAUCUACUGUCACCGCCAAUGAGACAAAGGUUUUUGAAGCUAUUUUGUCAAGAACAUCAACACUGUAGACGUACGUAAAGGAAUAAAAAAUCUCCCCAAUAGUGGUUAGGUUAGGUACUAUAGUUACAAAAAUCAUUUUCGACUGAUUUAUCUGCGAUGUACUAGUUACUGCUUCAUCAACAUAGAUGCUGAAUCUCACGGAAAAUCCAGUGACUAAGAAAUAUUUGAAACUUCCAAAUUUUUUAACCUUUUAUAUGAGGAUUUUGAAAGAGUUCCUGUACCAUGCUGUCUUUCAAAUUUAAGUGUCUUCCUAUGUGAUAUGAAGAUGGAACGUUUCUCCUUGUGUCUGGCCCAAAAUGGCAAAUAUUUCACCAUGAUUCAGUUGUUGAUAUUGAUUUAGCCGAAACAAUAUUAGAAGCAUCUGGUAUCCGGUAUCUGUAACAACUAACGAAAAUAUGGAAACAGUUCAGCUGGUGUUAGUUGACCCAAUCUGCAGUGCGGCUAUCGGGAGAGCUUCAAAUAUCCGAUCGUUAUUUACGACGAUUGCUGAAACGCAUGCACUAUCGAGAUUACCGUCCGCGUCUCCUCCACGCACUUCACGAGCAUGAUUUCAAUCGAAAUCUGAAAUUUUGGUAUUGGUACCUCGAAUGCAGUUAGAAUGAUCCGUAGUUCCAGCAUUCAAUUUUGUGGACGGAUAAAGCAACCUACUGGCUGAAAGGUAGGGUAAUUAGGCAUACCUGUGUAUACUGGAAGGACCAGAAUCCUUACGUCUUCAUUGAAAAAGAAUUAAACCUGACUGGGGUGUUUGUUUGCGGGCAGUUAUCCUUGCGGGACGUCUCGUAGCUCCGUACUUAUUUGAGGGUCAGGUGAGGUGCCAAAAGCAUCUAGAAAUGCUCGAAGACUUACGUGGGCUAAUGGACAACGAUCCAACAUUCACAAACAUACGUAAUUUCAUACAGGAUGGAGAUUUGCUGCUACGCGUUUUGUGUGCGGUAGUACAUUAAUGUACAUUUUGGAAAAUUGAUAGGCAGACAAGGACUCCUUGAGUGGCCUGCACGGUCAUGUGACCUGACACCCUGUGAUUUCUCUAUGUGAGACCUUCUCAAGGACCGCGUUUUCGCAACCUUCCCGACCUCUUAACUACAAUUGAAGAAGAAUUUGAAACCCCUCGCGGACAGCUUGACAUGAUUCGCCGGACCUGCCUCUCCGUUGAGGAACUUUCUCGUAAAUGGGCAUCAACACUUACAGUAACCAUUUUUUCAAUUUCUUUUGUAAUUUCUUCUAAUAAAUUCAUUGUGAUGCUA
Molecule: long non-coding RNA, 1631 nt
Organism: Diorhabda carinulata
Lineage: Eukaryota; Metazoa; Arthropoda; Insecta; Coleoptera; Chrysomelidae
Exons: 3
Source: RefSeq, a predicted model, not a curated record